GUGGGGGCAUGAGGGCGCUGGAGUGAGGAACAGAUUGGAGCCUUCCCACUUCCUCUCCAAUCUCAGCCCCCGGGAGGAGGGGUGAGGCCCUCGAGGGGGCCCGGAGUUAAGGAGGAAUAGACCGUUUCUCUCUCUCCUGUCUCCCCCGCCUCUGCCCGUCUUCCCUCUAAGCCGGCCUCUAGGUGCAGAGGCUGACGUCCAGGAUGGGGACCGGGGAAGCCUCUGGAGGGUAUAUCCGGGAAGGCACCAAGGCUGAAAAAGAUGCAGUCUAGCACCUCAGUUAAGAAUAUGGACUCUAAAGUCAGACUGCCAGGCUUCAAAUUCCAGUUCUGCGACCUCAGCAAAGUUACUUAACCAAGCUCUCAGUGCCUUGUUUUCUUCAUCUGUAAAAUGAGGAUGACGUCACAGCAUUGUUGAGAGAAUUAAUACAGGCUCCAGACUUGUGAAUGGAGAAGUGUUGAGGUGACCCCAGCUCCAGCCACCAGCUGACGACAACCAUACCGGAGAUCCUGAGAGCUGCCUAGCUGACCCCAGGCACCCCCCAGACUUCAUGUAAGCUGUUUGAAGCCGAGGACUUUGUCUGUUUUGUUCACUCCCAAUAGAUUCAGCACUUAGAAGAAUGCCAGGCAGGCUUUCCCCACCAACCAAGAUGGAAUAACAGGGAAAAGACAUACCCUUCUAUCUUCAAUAAUUGGAAACCCAGACAAAGUUUAUGAAACGCUGGUUUUCAAGACAUAGGACAUCAGACAAUCAAGGACAGUAAACACUGAGAUGGGAAACAAACAAGCCAAAAACUGGAAACAGCCCAAAUGUCCAGCAACAAAAGAAUGGAUAAACAAAUUGUGGUAUAUUUACUACCUAGCAGUUGAAAGAAAUAAACCUCUGACACACACAAGCUGGAUUAAAAAAGAAGAGGAAAUGAAUUAUUGAUACAUAUAAUAAAGAUUACUCUCAAAAUAAUUAUGGUAAGUCAAAGAAGUCAGACCAUGCUCCCUAAGAGUAUAUACUUCAUGAUUCAAUUUCUGUACAAUUCUAUAAAAUGCAAAUUAAUAUAUGAUAACAAAAAGUGAUUGCCUGGAAAUGGUGAGAGGACAGAGGGGCCAGAAUCAGCCAGGAUUACAAAGAUGCACAAGGAAACUUUUGAGGGUGGUGGAUAUCUUGAGUGUGGUGAUAGUUUUACAGUUGUAUGCCUAUGUUAGAAGCUAUCAAAUUGUACACUUUAAGUAUGUACACUUUGUUGUAUAUUAAUUAUGCCUUAAUAAAGUUAUUAUAAAAAGUAGUUCCAGGCAAUACUAGACACUCAAUAAACAUUUGUAAACUAGUCGUUGACUUUCUUGGACUGUGACUUGUUAGCAGUUAGGGAUUGAUUAUUCUGUACAUGUUUAUGU
RNAcentral lists this long non-coding RNA (1388 nucleotides) under Homo sapiens (human). RNAcentral describes it as "MSANTD2 antisense RNA 1". Lineage: Eukaryota; Metazoa; Chordata; Mammalia; Primates; Hominidae. The record is from RNAcentral.